This is a long non-coding RNA of Bos taurus (domestic cattle), 965 nucleotides long. The record is from Ensembl. NCBI's taxonomy places the organism in Eukaryota, Metazoa, Chordata, Mammalia, Artiodactyla, Bovidae.
AGCCAUCUUGGAACCGGGCGGCGGCUGCGUCCUCUGUGGAGGCGUGGCCGGAACGGAGGUGGUGUUGUCACCUGUCAAGCUCAGGUGUUCCCUUGGCCUGGCUUCUCGGGCUCCUGUUAAGUUAUGGCAGGUGACCUUUGAGGUGGCCGGGCAUCCCCCCUCCCCCCACGGCGGCACUGGUCCCAUCUCAAGGGACACCCUCCCUCCUAAAGGGCUGUUCUGGACACCUGAGUGAGCCAUGUGAUUAUUGUUCCAGCCUCUCCCUCCUCGAGCCCCCUGGCCUGGUCCUGGGCAGGGCCUGGGUUGUGCAGAUGGCCAAGUUCCACUUUUGUCCAUCUCUAAUGGGCAAAUGCACCAAUGGCAGCACACGGCAAGAGGUGCUCCCCGUGGUAUGUGGAGGUCCUGAGCAGUUCUUGGGCUGAGGUCUGUGGAGCUAGGUCUUUGGAGCUGGAUCUCAGAGGAAGAUCUCAGAAGCCCUGCCAAGACACAGUUUCAUGUUGUAUUUCACCUGAAUCCCAAAAAGGCAGCUCCUGAAGUCCCAUUACUGUGUGGUGGUGUCAGGCCAUUCCAUCUUCAGCUGGCUGGCUCACCCAUGGCCCCUGCCUGGCUUUGCCACUAGGUGGAGCCACAGGCCUACCCAAUUGCUUCCCCACGUUGCAAACGCCAGACCUGCCUUUCAAAUUUAGCGUCAGGACUCUUCUUCAACUCUCCUAAAUUUUUCAAGUUUCUGUUACAUGGUGACAUCUAGGGGUAUUUAGAGACAAAAACAGAGCAGCUGUUACACUUAGGACUUUCACUUAAAACCAGUGAUGAUAAAUCCAGUGCAUGUAAACAUCACAGUUUAAAGAAAAACAGCUUUAUUUUCCCAUCAUUGGUGCAGAUCCCUUAGAAGAGCUAGGUUAUAACUACGUGGCCAACUCAAGUUCUUUCUGCUGUUCUGUCCACAUUGAUUUGCUGCUUUUUGG